Molecule: ribosomal RNA, 737 nt
Filed under: uncultured bacterium
Lineage: Bacteria
Description: bacterial SSU rRNA
Rfam family: Bacterial small subunit ribosomal RNA
Source: RNAcentral
AGAGUUUGAUCAUGGCUCAGGACGAACGCUGGCGGCGUGCCUAACACAUGCAAGUCGAGCGAGAAAGUCUCCUUCGGGAGGCGAGUAAAGCGGCGAACGGGUGAGUAACACGUGAGCGAUCUGCCCGGCGGCGGGGGAUAACCCAGGGAAACCUGAGCUAAUACCGCAUACAGCACUGGCUUGGAAGCUGGAUGUGAAAGCUGGCCUCUCGAAGAAGCUGGCACCGUCGGAUGAGCUCGCGGCCUAUCAGCUAGUUGGUGGGGUAACGGCCUACCAAGGCGAUGACGGGUAGCUGGCGUGAGAGCGUGGCCAGCCACACUGGGACUGAGACACGGCCCAGACUCCUACGGGAGGCAGCAGUGGGGAAUAUUGCGCAAUGGGCGAAAGCCUGACGCAGCGACGCCGCGUGGGGGAGGAAGGCCUCAGGGUUGUAAACCCCUGUCAGGUGGGACGAACCACGGAUCGGUCAAUACCCGGUCCGCCUGACGGUACCACCAGAGGAAGCUCCGGCUAACUCCGUGCCAGCAGCCGCGGUAAUACGGAGGGAGCGAGCGUUGUUCGGAAUCACUGGGCGUAAAGGGCGCGUAGGCGGUCGGGUAAGUCGGGUGUGAAAUUCCGGGGCUCAACCCCGCGAACUGCAUUCGAUACUGCUCGACUAGAGAGAGGUAGGGGCGAGUGGAAUUCCCGGUGUAGCGGUGGAAUGCGUAGAUAUCGGGAAGAACACCGGUGGCGAAGGC